This 468-nucleotide ribosomal RNA is filed under the name uncultured bacterium. Its description in RNAcentral is "partial 16S ribosomal RNA". It matches the Rfam family "Bacterial small subunit ribosomal RNA", at positions 28 to 507 of the family's 1533-position model. The record is from RNAcentral.
GACGAACGCUGGCGGCGUGCUUAACACAUGCAAGUCGAACGGAAAGGCCCUGCUUUUGUGGGGUUCUCGAGUGGCGAACGGGUGAGUAACACGUGAGUAACCUGCCCUUGACUUUGGGAUAACUUCUGGAAACUGGGGCUCAUACCGGAUAGGAGCUCCUGCUGCAUGGUGGGGGUUGGAAAGUUUCGGCGGUUUGGGAUGGACUCGCGGCUUACCAGCUUGUUGGUCGGGUAGUGGCGUACCAAGGCUUUGACGGGUAGGCGGCCUGGGAGCGUGACCGGCCACAUUGGGACUGAGGUACGGCCCAGACGCGAAUGUGAGGCAGCAGGGGGGAACAUUGCACAAUGGGCGGAAGUCUGAUGCAGCGACGUCGCGUGCGGGAUGACGGCCUUCGGGUUGUAAACCGCUGUCGCCUGUGACGAGGCGUGAGUGACGGUAAUGGGUAAAGAAGCACCGGCUAACUACGUG